Molecule: ribosomal RNA, 517 nt
Filed under: uncultured archaeon
Lineage: Archaea
Description: bacterial SSU rRNA
Rfam family: Archaeal small subunit ribosomal RNA
Source: RNAcentral
GUAACUCGUAGUCAACCUGCCCUGGAGACAUGGACAACCCCGGGAAACUGGGAUUAAUCCGUGAUAGGUCAUCUCAUCUGGAAGGAGAGAUGGCUUAAAGGGGUACGCGGGCUUCUUCUGCGUAUUCGCUCCAGGAUGGGACUGCGUCCGAUCAGGCUGUUGGCGGGGUAAUGGCCCACCAAACCUGUAACCGGUACGGGCCUUGAGAGAGGUGGCCCGGAGAUGGACACUGAGAGAAGGGUCCAGGUCCUACGGGGCGCAGCAGGCGCGAAACCUUCGCAAUGCGCGAAAGCGUGACGAGGUUAAUCCGAGUGGCCCCCGCUGAGGGGGUCUUUUGUCAGCUGUAAAUAGGCGGGCGAAUAAGGGGAGGGCAAGCCUGGUGUCAGCCGCCGCGGUAAUACCAGCUCCUCGAGUGGUCGGGGCGAUUAUUGGGCCUAAAGCAUCCGUAGCCGGUUCCGUAGGUCCUCUGUUAAAUCCACCCGCUUAACGGGUGACCUGCAGAGGAUACCGCGGGACU